This 196-nucleotide ribosomal RNA is filed under the name uncultured bacterium. RNAcentral's name for it is "partial 16S ribosomal RNA". It matches the Rfam family "Bacterial small subunit ribosomal RNA", at positions 337 to 525 of the family's 1533-position model. The record is from RNAcentral.
UCCUACGGGAGGCAGCAGUGGGGAAUAUUGCACAAUGGGCGCAAGCCUGAUGCAGCCAUGCCGCGUGUGUGAAGAAGGCCUUCGGGUUGUAAAGCACUUUCAGCGAGGAGGAAGGUGGUGAGUUUAAUACGCUCAUCAAUUGACGUUACUCGCAGAAGAAGCACCGGCUAACUCCGUGCCAGCACCCGCGGUAAUA